This 1906-nucleotide ribosomal RNA is filed under the name human gut metagenome. RNAcentral describes it as "bacterial LSU rRNA". It matches the Rfam family "Bacterial large subunit ribosomal RNA", at positions 511 to 2483 of the family's 2925-position model. The record is from RNAcentral.
AAGUUGAAAAGAACCCCGGAAGGGGAGUGAAAGAGAACCUGAAACCCUAUGUUUACAAGCUGCUAAAGCACUAUAUAUGUGCGAUAGCGUACUUUUUGUAGAACGGUCCGGCGAGUGUAUGUUGCAAGCGAGGUUAAGGUGUUAAGCACUGAAGCCGAAGGGAGACCGAGUGUGAAUAGCGCGUACAGUUUGCAGUAUACGACCCGAAACCGGGUGACCUAACCAUGGACAGGUUGAAGUGGAAGUAAAAUUCCAUGGAGGACCGAACCCACGUCUGUUGAAAAAGGCGGGGAUGAGCUGUGGUUAGCGGUGAAAUUCCAAUCGAACUCGGAUAUAGCUGGUUCUCAUCGAAAUAGCUUUAGGGCUAGCCUCAGGAUAGUUUAGCGGAGGUAAAGCACUGAAUGGGCUAGGGGGCUUCACGGCUUACCGAACCCUAUCAAACUCUGAAUGCCGCAUAAAUGUUUCCUGGGAGUCAGACUGCGUGAGAUAAGUUUCGUAGUCAAAAGGGAAAGAGCCCAGACCUACAGCUAAGGUCCCUAAAUGAAUUUAAGUGGAAAAGGAUGUGCAGUUGCGUAGACAACUAGGACGUUGGCUUAGAAGCAGCCACUCAUUUAAAGAGUGCGUAAUAGCUCACUAGUCGAGUGAUUGUGCGCCGAAAAUGUAACGGGGCUAAAAUUCAUACCGAAGCUUAGGCUUUGCACACUUUGUGUGCGAGGGGUAGAUGAGCGUUGUGUAAGUCUGCGAAGCUACACCGAAAGGAGUAGUGGAGAUAUCACAAGUGAGAAUGCCGGAAUGAGUAGCGAGAAUUAUGUGAGAAUCAUAAUGGUCGAAAAUCUAAGGUUUCUUGAGGAAGGUUCGUCCGCUCAAGGUAAGCCGGGAGCUAAGGCGAGGCCGAGAGGCGUAGUCGAUGCACAUACGGUAAAGAUUCCGUAGCCACCGAAGUCGUUAAAUACAGGGACACAGGAACAUAGCCUAACCCCACCGUUGGUUGAGUGGGGCGUAAGGGAGCGAAAAUUAGUAGCGAAGUGGGUGAUUGUACACUGGCGAGAAAAGCUGUAUGGAUUGACAAGGUGCCCGUACCGCAAACCGACACAGGUAGAUGAGGAGAGAAUCCUAAGACCAGCGGGAGAAGUGUUGUUAAGGAACUCGGCAAAAUGACCCCGUAACUUCGGGAUAAGGGGAGCCUACGCGAGUAGGCCGCAGAGAAUAGUCUCAAGCGACUGUUUAGCAAAAACACAGGUCUAUGCUAAAUCGAAAGAUGAUGUAUAUGGGCUGACGCCUGCCCGGUGCUGGAAGGUUAAGGGGAAGUGUUAGAGCAAUCGAAGCACUGAACUUAAGCCCCAGUAAACGGCGGCCGUAACUAUAACGGUCCUAAGGUAGCGAAAUUCCUUGUCAGGUAAGUUCUGACCCGCACGAAUGGCGUAACGACUUGAGAGCUGUCUCAACAACAUACCCGGCGAAAUUGAAGUACUGGUAAAGAUGCCAGUUACCCGUGAUAAGACGGAAAGACCCCAUGGAGCUUUACUGUAACUUGAUAUUGAAUUUUUGUAUUACAUGUACAGGAUAGGUGGGAGACAGAGAACUAAUGCCGCCAGGUGUUAGGGAGUCGAUGUUGGGAUACCACUCUUGUAAUAUGAAGGUUCUAACCUGCACCCGUGAAUCCGGGUGGGGGACACUGUCAGGUGGACAGUUUGACUGGGGCGGUCGCCUCCUAAAAGGUAACGGAGGCGUUCAAAGGUUGGUUCAGCACGGACGGAAAUCGUGCAACGAGUGCAAACGCAUAAACCAGCCUAACUGCGAGACCGACAAGUCGAGCAGUAACGAAAGUUGGAGUUAGUGAUCCGGCGGUAUGAGAGUGGAAUUGCCGUCGCUCAACGGAUAAAAGCUACCCUGGGGAUAACAGGCU